CUACGGGAGGCAGCAGUGAGGAAUAUUGGGCAAUGGGGGAAACCCUGACCCAGCAAUGCCGCGUGCGGGAAGACGCCUUUCGGGGUGUAAACCGCUUUUCUGCAUGAAGAGGAAGGACGGUAGUGCAGGAAUAAGUCACGGCUAACUACGUGCCAGCAGCCGCGGUAAAACGUAGGACGCAAGCGUUAUCCGGAAUUACUGGGCGUAAAGCGCGUGCAGGCGGUUUGACAAGUCAUGCGUGAAAGCUCCCGGCUAAACUGGGAGAGGUCGGAUGAGACUGUCAGGCUAGAGGGUGUUAGAGGCAUGUGGAAUUCCGCGUGUAGUGGUGAAAUGCGUAGAGAUGCGGAGGAACACCAGUGGCGAAGGCGGCACGCUGGGACACACCUGACGCUGAGACGCGAAAGCAUGGGUAGCGAACGGGAUUAGAAACCCUAGUAGUCC
This 441-nucleotide ribosomal RNA is filed under the name uncultured bacterium. RNAcentral describes it as "bacterial SSU rRNA". It matches the Rfam family "Bacterial small subunit ribosomal RNA", at positions 339 to 796 of the family's 1533-position model. The record is from RNAcentral.